CGCGCACACACCGCCCGUCACUCUCCCCAAGUCACCACUACACCAUAAAUAAUAUGCUACGCCGACAAAGGGGAGGCAAGUCGUAACAUGGUAAGUGUACCGGAAGGUGCACUUGGAUAAAUU
This 123-nucleotide ribosomal RNA is filed under the name Nanochromis parilus. RNAcentral's name for it is "partial 12S ribosomal RNA". The record is from RNAcentral. Lineage: Eukaryota; Metazoa; Chordata; Actinopteri; Cichliformes; Cichlidae.